CAGCCUACACCACCCCAUUUCACUUCCCAUGCUGAGCCUUCCAGUGCCAGAGGAAGAGCUGGUGCUGGAUCUAGAUCUCAGUGCCCUAGAAAAGGAAAUUCUGUGGAAGGAGGAGGAAUCAGUUGAGUUUGUGCUUGGAAUUCUGACACACUGCAACUUACCAGAUAUCUGAC
Gavialis gangeticus (Gharial) is the source of this 173-nucleotide long non-coding RNA. RefSeq lists it as uncharacterized. Lineage: Eukaryota; Metazoa; Chordata; Crocodylia; Gavialidae. The transcript is spliced from 3 exons. The record is from RefSeq and is a predicted model, not a curated record.